CCGAAUCUCAUUUUUCUCAAUCUAUAUAAUAACAAAAUUUACUUAUUUAAUCAUUAAUUCAUUCAAUUUAACAAAAUUUACACAUUUUCGAAAAAUUACACUUUUGCCUCUAUUAUUCCAUAUUUUUGCAAUUUAGUCAUUAUCAUAUAAAAUCACAAUUUCAUGAAAUUAAGCACAAACCCAAGCUAGCCGAAUUUUCCAUAUAUUACUAUCAACCCAUAUUUUCAAUUUAUUUCACAUUUCAACGUCUCAAUUUACACUUUUCACAAUUUAAUCCUUUUUUUGACAUUUUUACCAAAAAUCACUUAACAGAACAUAUUAUCUAUAAAAAAAUUAUUCAUUUUCCAUCAUCAACUCUUAAAAAAAUCAAGCUAUCAUCAAUGGAAACUCAUAAAAUCAUCAACAAAUUCAAAAAUUAGGGUACGGGCUAGCUAGAACACGAAGCAACUAUCACAAAAACAUAAAAAUCAUAAAAAACUGAGCUAGAAACAUACCUCAAUUAAAAACAACAAGGGCCGAACCCUAAAAUACUUCCAUGGAUGUUUCUUUUAUCUAUAUCCAGUGGAAGAUGAAGGAAAUUAAUAUGAUUUUGGCUUUUAUUUUAGUUAGUUAUGUCAUUUUAACCAUUUUACCAUUUUAACCUUUAAUAACAUUUAAAAUUUCCAUUAUACCAAGCCAUAGAAUUCCACUAUCAACAUUUAUGGGAUAAUUACCACUUAAGGAUUCCUACUAUUUAAUAUCACAGCCAUUUAAUACCUUUAACUUAUAGAAUUUAAUUUUUGCGCUUUACGCGAUUUAGUCCUUUUUACCGAAUUAACCACUCAAACGGUAAAAUUUCUUUACGAAAAUUUCACACAACUCUAAUAUCAUAUUGUAAAUAUUAAAAUAAUAAAAUAAAAUUUUCAAUGUCGGACUGUGGCCCCAAAAUCACUGUUCUGAUUAACCCUAAAAAUGGGUUGUUACAACUUCUACCGAAACAAUUCAAGUUAGUAGCCAAAGUUCAGCAUCCCCUGCACUUCUAUCGAUACUUUGAUGGAUUCUACCAAUACCAAAUGAAACCCUCAAACUUCUACCGAUACAAAUUUCCUUCUACUGGUACAACGAAGCUACAAAUUGCAUUUAAUGCUGGUUUUUAUAGUUGUAACGACUCCAUUUUGUUUCUAACGACUACAAACAUCCAAAAGGUUGUUAGAGGACUUAAAUAAAAGGUCAAGGCUCCCCAUUGAAGUGAAAAAAGAUAAGAAAAAAGUGCAUGACUUCCAAGAAUUCAAUUUUCCAAUCUUUCUCAAUCUUUUUACUAAAUAUUUAUUGUACACAAUUGUGGGUUAAAUUAUCUAUCAUUCUUUUACGUGUUGUAACUUGUGAGAGACUGUUUAAUUGUUGAUUGUCUACCUUUUAAAGGUAUCAUCUUAUUCAUAAUUAUUUUUCUCUCAUUUGUGAGGUGUUACUUAAGGUUUUAGGUAGAAAACAUUAAGGGGAAGUGGUUCUAUCUUACCUUUGAAAAGAUAGGGAUUUGUAAGGUUAAACAUUGACCUUAAAGGUUCAAAUCUAGUGGAUUUGGGAAAUCCUUAGUUGAGGAAAGCUAAGGUAGUGGAUAUAAGCAAUUAAAGCCGAACCACUAUAAGUACUUGAGUUGUUUUGUUUUUUUUUCAUUUUCUGAAAACGUUUUAAUACACUAAUUCACCCCCUUCUUGGUGUAUUUUGAUCUCAACAAUUUCUUUUACUUAUGACCAGUUUAAAACCAAGGACCUUGUAGUUUGAACUAGAGAUUGAGAAAUUAGCUCAAUCACUACAAAUAGAAGCUAUUCAAUGUUGAAAACAAUCUCAAGUAAAAGAAUUAGAAUACGAAACACUAUCUUACACAAAAGAAAUUGAUGAUACACUCAGUGAACCAAAAGAAAUGACAAAUCAAAGCAGGUCGGGUAAGGAGUGUUACACAAUCUCAUUAACAAUGAAACCACUACCUCCUCCAUUAACGUGAAUCCCUUAUACACCACUGAAAAAUUCUCAAAAUGUUGAAAAUUGUGCAUCUGGCAUCUCAAUUGGCAAUGUUGCUAAAACUAACACUAACACUAACACUAGCUCUUCCACGUAGACAAAACAUUCAUGAACCAUUAAUGUAGGUUUGGAUAUUCUUAACUUAUCUACAACCAUAAACCACAGUUCGCUUAACUCUUUAUCCAGGAAAUUUAUAUAUGUCCGAAUUAGUUACACCAUAGCCUCCUAUUAUCUAUUAUUUGCAUAUUUGUUUUUUAGAUUUUUUAGAAGUUUUUCUUCUAACAAAUUUUUUCUCUUUAUUAUAACCAGUAUAUUUUUUAAUUCCUGGUUUUCAUCUAUCUAAUUCAUAUCUUCUAUUUUUCUUUCUAUGUUUUUUAUAAGUUUUAGGGCGUAUUGAUUUACAUCUAAAUUGUCACUCAUUUUUUAAAAUUUUAGUACAAUGUUUAUCACUUAAUUUAUUUUUAACUUGUUUAGAGGCUUUAGUUUGUAAGUAGAGUAGAGUUAUUUUUUCUUUUGCAAAAUUUAUCCUAUUACCUAUAAAAUCUAUAUUUUCUGGUUCUACUCCAGCCUUUUUUCUAUGUUUUUCUAGAUAAUUUACAUAUUUUUGUAUGUAAAUUUCAUCCCAUGGUGGUGGUAAUUUAUGAAAAUAUUGGUUUUUCCAAAAUUCUAUGUUUUCAUUUUUUUAGUUUUUGAUAUUCAUGAAGAAAUUUUUUAGAAAAAUCUUCUAAAUAUCUAAUAUCACAUAAUUUAUUUUUUGAUAAUAUAUAUGUCGAAACCAUUUUUAAAUCGAGUUUUGGAAAAUGGGAAUCGACUUUAAGAAAAACGAAAACGGGAGUCGCCACCAAUCUUUUUAAGUGUGAUUGGAUCACCUUAUAAAAUGUUUUGUUUAAAAACAUUAAUUUUGGUCUACGAAAGUCGAGAAAAUAGAUUCGAGAGUCGGUUACGUACAAGGAAGGUUUAGUACCCUCGUAAUGCCCAAAAUUUGGUGCCUAAUUGAUUAUCAAGUGUCUUUAAUGUCGGAAAUUUGAAAGUUUUAAGAUGCAAACCUCUUUUAAUUAGAAUGUCUCAAUUUUGAAAAUUAAGGCUCACUUAUUUUAAACAAGUCAAAACAUCACAUCCAAAAAGUUAGGACGCAACAUUUUAAAACCUUCGAAACUAAACUCGUCUUUCAAAAAUUUCUAUCUCGAAACAACAAAACGCCAUAUUCAGUAAGUUAGGACACUAUGUUUUGAAAUCUCGAAAUAAUUGUUUAAGUUUUGAAAACUCGAAAUCACUUAGAAGGGUGCUUGACUAUUCGAAUUCAACGAGAAAAGUCGUAACCCAGUAAGUUAGGGCACUACCUUUCUCGAAGUUUCCAAACAUCAAGCAUUGCAUUUUAUUUUUUUUUAAAAAAAACCUUGGAAUAUUAUUUUAAAUGACGUUUUAGGAUGACAUAUUAAUGUAUCAUGAAGCAUAGAUGUACAAAAUAUUCUAACAUUUCCAUACAAACAUAAAUAAUAUCAUUAAGACAAAACUAAAUAACAUGAACAUACGUUUAAUGAAAAAAAUCAUACUAGGGUAAAUAUAAGAUAAUAAACAAAUAAAAAUAUGAGUAAACUAAAAGAAAAACAUAAUACAUGCAAAAAUUAUACAACAAUAUAUAUCAUAAAAUAGCAUAUAAAAUAAAUAAUUAAACAUAGCAUAUAAAAAAAUGAAACUAUGCACAAAUAAGAUAAAUGACAUACACUAAAAAAAUGAAUAAAUAGAACAUUUACAAAUUAUAAAAAUAUAAUGCAAUAGUUCAAAAUACAUGAAAUGAUAAUAUAAUAUAUAUACAUGCAUAGAAAAUAUAUAUUUGAAAAUAAACUAUAUAAAAAGGUUAAAUAUUAUAAUAUAUAAAAUACAUAAUCAAAUGUAUAAAAAGAUAGGAAUAAAUAUACAUAUUUGAAAAAUGAAGAAAUUAAAAUAAAAAAAGGGCUGAAAAACUAAGAUAGACGAAGAAUAAAAUAAGAACAAACCACAGAGAGUAAGAACGCAAGAGGGAGAGAAAUUUGAGUGAAUGCUCUCAAGAAUUCUUAUUGCUUCCCAAAACUCAAGUGAUUUACAAUGAAGGGAGAGGCCUCUAUUUAUAGUUGAGCCUCCCCAAAUCCAAUGGUAUAGAUCAAUUACAUCAACGGUUAAGAUUAAAGGAUAUCUACAAAUUAAAUCUCCAAGAUUACAAGAUCAUAUCUUCAAGAUUGCAUAUCAUAUCUAAGAUUGCAUAUCAUAUCUAAGAUUGUAUCAUAUCUAAUAUUGCAUAUCAUAUCUAAGAUUGCAUAUCCUUAAAGAUUAUAUUUCCAUAUGAGUCAAGCUCAUAGAUGGACCUUCAAUUUUUUCAAGUAAUGGGCCAUUUCUAUUGGGCCAAAUUAUAUGUCUGUAAUUUUGUACUGGACUUGGACUUUGUUUUUUUUUUUGAACUUAUUUCUGGGCCCGGGAAAAAUUGAGUGUCUACAAUAUAACUAGAUACACUAUCCUGAUCUUUUUUUUUAUUUAUCAAAAUAGCUACAAAAUUCUAUUUUUAGAAUAAAAGUUAAUCCUUUUAAAAGAUCUUUAAGAGUUCUUAACUGAUUAAUUAACUGACUUUUUUGUUGUUUUCCUUUUUCAAAUUCCUCCCAACAUCUUAAAAAUUGUAAAACAUCCGCUUGGAAUGUUCCAACAAAAUAAUUUAAAAAAUUUUCUUUUGACCAAGUACUGUUAUUGUUUACAAAAAUUAUCAUUGACUGUGCCUAAUCAUCUAUAGUUAUUUCAUAUUCUAGUAUAGAAAUAUUAGUCAAGUCUAAAUAUAUUCCUCAUUGGGCCACAUUUCUUUUAUUUAAAUCAUCAAUCCUAUGUGGUAUAGGUUGACUAGAUGACUCUCCUAGAUAUUCAGUUUUAAUUUCAUUAGUAGCUAUAUUUUCAGUUUGAGUACCAAAAAUUCUAGUUGUAUUUUCAACUUUUUCAAAAUCUUUAUUUAAAGCUCUCAGAUAAUCAUCGUUUUGAAUAUCUAACUCCAUUUUUCUUUUUCCAUAAGGAUCUGUUUCUUCAGUAUCCAUUGAUUUUGGAAUUUCUAUAUUUUCUUCCUCGUUUGUUGAAGUGUUUUCUUCAUCAGAUUUAUAACUAGCAACCUUCAAAUCUUCUUGCUUAUCAGAAUUACUAGAACUACUACUGUCUGUAGUGUCAUAAUUUAAUAUAUAAUGAUAGUUAAAUAAAGUAAAUAAGUCUUUAUGUUUUUCAUAAAUUUGUUCUAUUAAUUUUAAAUAUUCUACUCUUUCAUUUUUAUCUGUAUUUUGAGUAAAUUUAAAUUUCCAAUGUUCUAUAAGUUCUUUAUAAGAUUGGAAAUCAUAUUUUUGUUGACGAGUAUAUUUUCUUUUUUUGUUUUUCAGGAUUCGUACUUCUUUUAUUAGUAGAAGAUGAUUCUUCUGAAGAAGUUUCUUCCUCAGAUAAAGUUAAUAUUAUAUUACUAUUACUGUAAUAUAAAGGACCUAAAUCUAUUUCUUCUUCUAUAUUUUUGUUAAUAAGAACUUGAUCUAAUUUAUUAUCUAUAUUAGAUAAUACUUUUUUAGGUUCGUUGUUCAAAUCUAAUUCAGUUACCUCUCCUAAAUUAUUAACUUGUUGUUCAAUUUUAUUUAUUUUAUUAUAUAAUUUAUUAAAAUAUAGAGAGGUUAUAUCCAUUAAACUAUUAAAUCCUUUACUAAGGGCCGAAAUAUUAUUUUCAAUCUUAGAGUGUAUACGCAUAGUAUGAUUACAAGUUUUAUCUUCAGAUAAACAAUAUGUUUCUUCCAUGAUAUUUAUCUAUGGUACCUAAAACUGUCUGUUAUGUUAUUAUGUCUUAACACUCAAAGGCCUAACGUCUCUCACUCGGACUUAAAUAGGCAAAAGUAAGACAAAAUAACAGAUGUAUGGGUUUUAAGAUAAAUAACCACAGAAUUAACUGAAUUGUAAAUUAAAGAUAAGAACUUACAAUGAAUACUACGAUUUAUUUCUCCAAGUAUCGUUACUCCGGAGGCCUCUUAUACUAAUUAUGGGGAAUAAGGGAUGCGAAAGAAGAAGGAUUAUAUUAUUACAAAGGAAACUUUACAAAAGAAAGUUUACAAGGAGAGGAUAUUUGAAAAGAAAGUUAAAAGUUUCUAAAGCUAUUUUGGAUUUUGAUAUCGAU
This 6151-nucleotide long non-coding RNA is filed under the name Gossypium barbadense (sea-island cotton). Its description in RNAcentral is "long non-coding RNA (GBAR_LNC005565)". Lineage: Eukaryota; Viridiplantae; Streptophyta; Magnoliopsida; Malvales; Malvaceae. The record is from RNAcentral.